CUACAAUUUAAUUUCUAUGCAAGAAGCUAAUCUUGUGUGGAAAAAACACAUUUUUGCACUAAAUGUAGCUGUUUCCAGUACCUGAUUCAUCUCUUUGCUUUGUCCAGUGCUCAUCCUCUUACAUCCCUUUGUUCUUCUUAGCGUAGGCUUUGGAUCACCUCGUGGGCCAUCUCCCUCAACAGCCUUCUGCUCUUUCCUAUUCCUACCCAAUCUAUUCCCGUCCAUAUGAUACUCGAAUACUACAAGAGAAAGGGCUAAUAGGUAAAACCUAAGAGGCACGCAUUUCUUCGCUCAUAGCAAAGAUCUUCUGAAUGAGCAUAACCAAAAGAGCGCUACUGUGAUGGAAGAGGUCAGCCCAAGAUGAAGUGAACGGCAACCAAGUUUGGGGAUGUUUGUGCAUUCUGGGGCUGUCUUUGACCAGUAACUUCAGCAUUCCCAGUUUGAGAUACUCAUAGGAAGUAGUUCUCCUGAGCUCUGUGCUAAAAUGGAGUUUGUUCCUGCCCUUUGAUCUGCAGCCCUUCUGCUCAUCUCAGAGUAAGUCAUCCCAGUGCAUGGCUUUGCCUGGGAGCUAACUUUUAACUGUUUAAAGCUGCAACACCAAAGUAAAGCUGAGUCCCAUGAUAUUUGGUCACAGCAAGAAAUCAGCUUACUGGUGCGAUCAGCGUAUCUCUCUGGUCUGGAGAGAGGCACAGCUUAGGGCGUCCAUCCCUCACAGCUUUGCCAACUGUGGGAAGAUGUUGAUGGCUUUCUAGUCAAAGCCACCAGAACAGCAGUCCUUAAAGCAUUGAUGAACAAAAAUAAUCGCUUCUGCUUCAAGCCUGAAUCACUGGAUUUAACCUGCAGAUAAAUAAGUUUGGACCUGUCCCACAAAGAGUCAGCUGUGCUCUGUUUUUUGUGUGUGAUCACAUGAGAGGAACCAGAUCGUACAGGUGUGGUCAUACAGCAGAGAAAUAUCUGGAAGAAUCACUCAAGAGGUUCAUCUUACACCCCCCUAACGUAUGGACACAUACAUACCCAUUCACCCUCCUGCAAAAUGAACGCAGCUCUUUACCCUGACGUGUAUUCAGGCCUGGGCUGGAAUUGGCUGUCAGGACCCUGAGGGCACUAAUUGGUCUUAAUGGCCCUGAGCAGCCUCAUCUGAGACCUCCCCCCCCCACCCAUGGGCCCUGGAGCCCUAUGUCAGUUCAGCUGUAGGAGUCCUCCUCUCCAGCCUAUACAUCUGCUCCUGUGCACCCAACACGAUGAAAAGUUAUGGUGCUCAUGGGAGGCAACAGAAUUCAGUCAACAUCGCUUUGAGCCUGACUGUAAUUAAUCCUGCUAAUUAGCCAGGGGCAUGUAUCUGCUUUCCCCCCCUCCCCAUAUCUCCCAGGGUGUGAAUCUGCAUUACCCCAAAUGCAGGGAGCUUGCUGUAGGAAGCAACGUGCAGAAGAUGCCUGGGAGGAGAGGAUAUUGAUGCAGAUAUCAGGUACAGCAGCUCUCCUCUGGGACCCGCACAGGAAAACUCGGAGACAGUCCCUCAGGGAUUCAAACAGGCUGAUAUCUCACAGUUUUAACCCCCGGCACAACCAGUAUAGCAAUGAACAGUAAAAAGAGCAAACGAUGGUGCCAACACCUAUCCUGUCCUCUACUCGUUUCCUUUCUUAUGGGUAGUCUGAAGAGAUGCUCCAUUGGUCUGGGAAAGCUCUGUACCAGCCCGAGAGGAACUGCAUACAGGUAAUCUUGCAGGGACCCCACGCUACAAACCCUCCAGCAAUUCCAAGCUGGGUCCCACCAAAAAAUGGGCUAGGCUAGAAAAUAGUAAAUGUUUGAGUACUCGCAUCUGCCUGUGCGCAUCUGCAGCCACGUCCCUUCCCACCUGUCAGGACGGGUGAGCGGAGGAACAGGAUUGUUUAAAGCACGGGGGGGUGCUGGGACUCUUCCGUCCCGUUGGAGGAGGGGAUGUCUCAGAAAGCAUCUCUGCGCUGCAAAGCCAGAUCACUGCUGUUCCCACGAGCCCGUGCUGACCCUGCACUUGAUGGAUUUUUUUUUUUUUUUUUUUUUUUUUUUGCUCGUAACGCUCUUAUCAGCUGGGGCCAACCGAAGUCAAGCUGGCUGGGGAUGACAGGGUGUUUGCAGCUCUGACUUCUGAGGCAUGGGGAGUUUCACGACAGCAGUCACAAAUAGAAAGGGAUGCUUGCCAGCUUCUUCUCUUUGAAGGUUGUCCAUUAUGUCCUAGUGUCAAUUCUGAGGGUGCAUGUGUGUAUGUGACUUCCUGCUUCACAUCUCAUAAAUUGGAGCUUGCUGCGAGCAGAAGCCCCUUGUCAUCUUCAGGUUCCUUAGAAUUCAGACUGCAAACCAUCGCAGUUCAGGGUAACUGUACCCCUCAUGGGUGGAGGAAGCCAUUAAGGAAGCCCCAGAAACUGUGAACAUCUCUGUACUCCAAAGAUGUUGCUGAAACUGGUGUGAUGGGAGGAUGUUGACUCUGACCUUGACAGAAAGAGGACCUGUUUCUCCAGAAACCCCAAAAAUCUUAAGACUUUUCCAGAGACAGAGGGGAAGCAUCUACCAGGCAUCAGACUGGUGUUCAAUCCAGCUUGGCAUUGCCAGUGAGAUGCAAAGGGAGUAUCCAGCCUUCAGCGUUGCCUUGCAGGGACAAUAGUAUCCUCUGCGUACUCCAUCUACUAGGUGUUUUCUGUCAGACCCUUCUGAAGAUUUGAGUUAACUUUGGUUUUCCGAUUUCUUCCCCUGCCCCUUGUUUUGUUUUGGUUUUUAUCAAAAUUGGAACCCUCUGUGGAAGUGUUUCGGGUCUGGUGACAAUGCUCCUCUUGUCCCCAUUGGGGUUUGUGGUCUGCAGCGAGAGCAAAUCCAGUAGCCUUGUGCAUGCAGCACUCCUGGAAAGCGGAGCACCCAACUUCAAGUCCUCUGCCAAGCUUGGGCCAGGGGUUUGGAAUGGCACCUUCCUGCGGUGAGCAUGGCUCUCUGCUCGACUUAGUAUUUAGUUACCUAUAUAAAGAGGAAAUGUGGUGGUGAGAGGAUGGGAAACGCCUGUUUGAGACAGCCUGGUGGUCAGGGACCCCCAGAGCUGGGGGGCCGAGGUCCAGAUCUUUGGUCUGACUUGGGACAGUGGCUUGUUUGCCUGGUGUGCGUAGCAGGCAGUGAGCAACCAGGGCUCAGGACACUUGUUCUUCAGCUGGCUGAGUUGUCAUUGUGGUUCUGAUGUUCUUACAAAACAACACACAAUAAAACAGUGGGCUGAGCCCAGUGCAGGGGCACAGGCAAGGGGUGUUUAGUUCAGAAAAGUCUGUGGAAAACAGACAAAACUCACGGUAUUGAAGGAGAGGAAACAUCCCCUGACAUCCCAUAACAAGAAAUCCUCAGGUCUUGUCAAGGCUGAUAGUGGAGCCCUGGAACUGAAUGGAGGCUGCUGUGCAAAUUUGUUCUCUAAACCAGCUUUGGUCUAUGUCGGGCUAGGACAUGGGCGGCAGCCAACCGAACAAAAGCACAAGGCAGGAGAAAAAAAAUACUAACUAUAACAGUUGUAACCUAUCAAUAAAAGUAAAUAGGGGUAAUUUGGUAUUUCUUCUCUGCCCUGGGAAAGUGCAGGGAAACUUCCAGCUCGUUCUGGGUGUGAUUGUUUCAGGAUAAAAACCAUCCAUAAGGCUGGUCUGUCUUAAUGCGUUCAGAAAGUAGCCCAUGGCAGCAUCUUCUCUGGGUACCCCCAAAAGUUUAGUCCCCUCUUGGGUUUGACUUUGGGAUGGGUAGAACUGAAGAGAGCUGUGAAAUACUCUGCCAGAUGACAUAGCACAUUUUACCAAGGUUUAAAAAAAACCAAACAAAAAAAUAAAAAUUGGCUGUAGAUGGAUGUAAAGGAGUGUUUUGGGUCCUCCUGGUGAAGCUGUACCAAUCUGCAAGUGCAGUCCCACCCUUUAGGACCACAAGGGCAGGAUUGCUGCUGUCAAAAUGGGAGGUGACCCAAAGCGUGGGUGCUGCACUGCCAGAGGAACGUCGCUCUUCACCCAGGGCUCUGCUGCAGCUCCCAGAUCAUGGAGGUCCCUGCUCUCCUGGACAGACGUGGAACUGUGCUUCCCUUAGAGGUUCAUAGGUUGGUCUGUAGCUGAUCUGGUGGAUGGUUUGGAAAUGUGAGUGUGGCACAGGCAGCGUUUGAGCUCCAGCUUCUGAGCUCUUCCAGGCUAGCCAGGUGUGCUGCUGGGGUGGGCACGUGGCUUUGCAGUGUGGGACAAACAGGAGAUGGUGCUGACUGUGUAGGUGUGAGCUGAUAUUAUACGAUAACAUAUACUAGAGGAUUAAUUUUUUUCAUCUGGAUUUUGUACGUCACGAGGUGCGUCUCCUUGAGCUGUUUUGGGAAGAUCUCAUAUGAAUGUCCAUAGAAGGCACUGAUGCUAUUAGCUAACAAGCCUGAUUAAAGGUAGGCUACUGCGUCUGGCAGCAGAGCCGAGACGUAAAUAUUGUAUUAAUUUCCCUUUACCGGCUCUUUGACUGAAUUCUAAAUGUUGUUGGCUUUAAAACUAACAAUAUUAUAGGGCUUCGUAGAGCUGAGCAAACUCUCCUGCCCUGUGUAAUGGCCACAGCCUUUAAAAUAUCCUUUGCGUAUUUAUGUGGCAACUUUAUUAAUUUGAUAGAAAAUGAAAAUGGAUUUGGGAUUUUGUUUAAUGUCUGAAUGUUGCUUAUUAUCUUCAUGUGUUUUUGAGGAGCUGUUUCUUUCAGAUUGAGACGUGGAAGCUGUGAAUUUUUUUACUUCAGGAACAACCUUCCUGGGGUAUUAGAAGUCAGAUAAAUUAAAGUAAAUCCUAGCACUGUCAGUACACAGAUCCAGCCACUUCAUGUAAAGCCCACAGAGAAUUUGGGGAGAUCACCAGAUCCUCCUGUGAUCUUGCCAGCCUGGGAAGGGGACAUUGGCUGAUCAGCUGGUGGAAAUCCUCGUUGACUUUGGCAGGACAACACAGCAGAGGAGCGACCACAGCCGCAGUACCCAGAAGCUCAGUGAUAACUUUUCUGGACUAUUUCCCAGUCUCUCCUACCUUCCAUUCCCUCACUCUGCUUAACAAGCUUCUGAGAAAAGUUUGGACAAAUGGGUUGUUGCUCCUGAAAUAACUGCAGAUAAUUAUAUAAAGAUUAAUGGCCUCUUCUUGAAGAAUCACCAAUGCAGGCUUCAUCUUCUUCAAGUACCGAUGACCUUUCCAGGAAAUGGGAAUGAGGAAAUGCAGUGGGAGAUGGAUUGGGUAAACAAAAUGUAAUUUAGACUCUUUAAAAUUGAGGAGAGCAAGACUGAUGCAAUUCCCCAUGUUCAAUCCGUACCACCCCCCCACGCACACACACUGCAGUUUGCAGACAGUGUUAGCUGGCUGUUUACCAGCGAUAAACUCAGAAAGGGUAAAGUGCAAAAUGCCUCAAAGGCAGCGGAAAAAAUGUAUUUGGAGUAAGAGAAGGUGGAGUAAAACGCAAGUGUGUAUGACCUCUGACAGAGGAUGCUUUCUUCCCAUAGUCUGAGCUUUGGUCACCCCUGGGGAAAGUGAGUAAAAGCCAAAGAUGCAGCGAGGAACUCAAGACCUGCUUCACUUCGGGCUUUGCUGAUAACUGAUAACUUUCAACAACUUGGUAGCCAGUUCAGGGAUGAGCUGCAAAUAACCAGAAUUUAACGUAGGUGGUAGCUAACUUACAACUGGCCUGUUCUGGCGCGUGCUGGCUUCAAACUCGCCCUUUGAAACUGGACCCUGCUAAAGAAAAACAGGUUCACGAAUGCCAUCAAAGAAAACUAAGAAGUCCCAACUGCCAAAAGAAGAUCUGACCCUUUUAUUAAGAGGUCUGCAGUGACACGGAGGAGGCUUUGUAUAAUAACCAGCUGAGUUUUAUUGCUCAGGAGCCUUGUGAGGGGAUCGUGCCACCAGCUGAAUCGUGGUACGGUGGUGAGAGCCUUGCAGAUGGGCAGCCCCACGCCAUGGUGCGUGAUGGUUUUCUUUGGGCCAGGCACUGGGCUCUUGAAAUGAAUGUCCCCAAAACAGUUUGAGAAAGAAAAGAGUUGUCAUGAACCUUCUCAUCCCUGUUAGUAAUUAUCUUGCUGCUGCAAGGUCAUCUUGAAGGAAGAGGUAGCAAAUGCACUUAGUGCACAUGCACAAAGCUAGCUUUAUAAAUUAACUGUCAGUUAAAAAUCCAUUCAUCUGCAGAAGUAAACAUCCCAUUUAAAUGCCCCAAGGUUGUCUUCAUGCCAACAGCAGGUAGCACUCCUCAGUUCCAUUCCUGAACUUAAUGCCGCUAACCUCCAAGUCCCUUUGGAAACCCUGGCUGCUAUCCUAAACGUCCCACUCGUGUCUAUGAACGUCUGUUCCAACCAGAGCAGCCAACUUGUCCUUGCUAGCUUCAUGCUGGAGGGGAUGGGCUAAGAGAGGCAACGCAAAACUUGCCCCCCAGAGCCAAGGGUGAGUCAAGUGACAUGGGUGUACGGAGGGGUGUAGAGAAGGUCUUCAUCCUGCUGGAGUGGAGCUGGGAUAAUACUAAAAGGGGAAGGGAAAGAAAAAAAAUUACAAAAAAAGGAGUUGCCUUGUAAAUGAAGGAUGGCCUGGAGACAAAACCCAGUCACGUGUGUUAGGACUGACUGGUUUCAUGUGAGGCUCCUCAAUAGUGUGUCUGUGCGGAGGAGACACUGGCCCUCUGUGGACGGCUGCACGUCCCAGCAGAGCUGCUGGGUCACAAGCAGCACAUGUGACUGGAGACUGUUACCCCAGCGUGGGGCCCACCAUGGCCAAUCCAUCUCCGUGGUGGAGGUAAGGACAGCGUGUGUGGGGACAUCCUGUCUCGGGAAGCCUCUCCCUGCUCCGUUAACUCCCGCAAGCAGGAGCGUUAGAGAGGGAAAGGAAAUGUUGGGUUGUUUUGGGGGGUUUUUUUUGAGGGCUUCAUGUUAAAAAUACUCCCAAUAUCCCAUCUUAGGCUUUUAAAAUGUUUUCUGGGGAGCUUUGUGGGCACAGGAGCUGUGCAACAUGGUUCUUGCUGCUAUGGGCUGAUGGGGAGAAGGCUUUUCUUGUGGACGCUUCUCAUUUGUCACCCACAAAUCUCCUUUCGGAUUUACAAUAGGACAGCAGCAUAUGGGCAGUAGCUGAUGCCCUCUGUUUAGCUGCUAAACAUAUGAUGGGAGGUUCCUUUAUGCUGAGAUGUCUUUCCACUAAUGAAUGCACCAUGGACUCUGAAAAUACUCACUUUGCUAGCAGGUGUUGACAGCCUCUGGAAGGAAGGACCUGGUUCAGAGAGCUGGGACGCCACAAGAGUCUCACCACCCAUUUGAAGCAGAUCAAAGAUGGGAGAAGGAAAGAGCACCAACAGAGAGCAGAUGAAGUGUAAGUCAGGUGGAAGAAAGGUGUCUUGGUGCUAUGAUAAAAAGCUAUAGGAGAAAACAACUUCCUACACUGAGCCAGGGACUUUAUCACAGUAAGUACCUGGACCUUCCCAGACUCUCUUCUGUCUCCUUCGCUGUAGAUAACCAUCAGUCUUCUCUGAUCUUCCUCACCUGCUCUUCCUCACAUGUAAGAAAUCUUAUGCAGCAGGGAAUCCCAGAAAGCAUCUUGUCCAUCACCCACACACCAUUGUCUAUCUUGUUCUUACAACCCACUGUGCUGAAGAUGUCCUGGCAUCCAGAAGGUGCAUCCAAAUGCUUCACAAGACUUUUCAUUCAAAGUUUUUUCCUAUGGCAGGGUGAAAACUUGGGCAAGCACUUUUGUCUCUCCUGGAGAAGAUGCCUCCCAGAGUAAGAGCCUGCCUCCGGUCAAUGGAGGCAGGAUGGAGUCUUUGAAGAUCUCAGAGGGACAUACUCUCUGCAUAAGAUUAGGCGAAAGUCAGUGUUAGAGGAAAUGAAUCCUGCAGCCAGGUGCUUGUUCCCCAUCCUGUGCGGUUUGGUACACCCAACGUGUUGUCCCAGUCACAAAAGUGGUGUCAGUACCCACCGAGUAAUCCUCCCCAGGUGGUGGAUUAGUCAGAGCUUCCAUAUCAUGACUCCUUGGGAUGUGCCUGCUAUUCCUGUAUGUCCCACAGAUAUAUUUGUCGUUGGCAUCACCUGUUUUUAGGUAACUAAGUCAAGGUCCUAGCCCUGCUUGCUAAUUAAUGGGAGCUCUGAAUCUCCUGGCACUGAAUUGGCCACAGUCGAGUGCCGCAGAGACUUCAGGAGUCCCGCAGACUGACCAACAAUUUCAGCUGUGUAGAAUAAGGUGGCGGGAAUGCCUUCCUCCCAACAACCCACCUGGCCCCCCCAGCUUGAGGGGAUGCUGUCCUAGCUGUGCCUGGCACAUGCAGGGUGCAGCGUACAGGGAUCUCGCUGGUGGAGGGCUGAGAUGAGCCCCCAGCGCUUUCCACUUGAGGUAGUGAGAGUAGAAUGACAAUUUAAAAUAAACCCCAGGAACCUAAUCCACCCUCCUAAACUUUGAUGGGACAGUGGUAUUGCUCAGAGGGUAAACUGGGUCCUGCCUGUUUAUUUUAAGCUGAAAGCCAAAAUGAUCGUGCUAGUUACUUAAAAGAAAAGUUUGUUUCUGUGCUCUGCUAAUUAACAGCCUCUGAGAGGCACCCAGAACGUAUCUCUGGGACCCAGAGUGUUGCAAAAACAUGGAAAGGUUAAUUGAAGGCAAUGGGAAAACAAGAAUCCCAGCUUUAACCUUCUUGGUCUGCCCUUGUUAUGCUAACAGCAUGGCGCAGGCAGAUUUAAUGACUCCUCAUUACCCUGCUACCUAAUUAACCUUCUGCCCUGAAACACAGAGGCUCUAAAAAAGAACCUCCCUGCCCAGGAACCUCUUCUGCCAGCAGCCCCCAGGGUUAAAGCAGACAUCUCCAGCGUUGCCAGGCUCAAAUCCCUGCGUGGCUUCCAGAUGAUUCCCAUUAAACAGAGAAGAAGGACAGCGGUUGGUGUCUCUCUCUAUUGGGAUGGCUUCGUGGCAGCUCGCGGUGUUGGCUGUAGGACAAUCUGCCCAUCGUCCCCGGUGCCGAGAUAGAUGGGAGCGGUGUGGCCCCCAGGGAGAGAGCUGGCACCAGGCUGCCACUGGAACCUGCAAAACUGCAGCUUGUGAUGGAACUGGGGAUGGAGACGUGUGAGAGGCACCCAGCCAUCAGGGUGUCCAUAACAGUCCCUCCAAGGGAUGGAGUUGACCAGUUCGGGUGAGCUCAGGGAUUGUCCAUCUCUGUGGUGAGUUCUGUCUGGAGCCAGCCUGGCCUGUGGCCGUUUCUCCUCCCCGUCCACCGUGUCUCAUCAGCGAGGUUUCUGUGCAGGCUCUGUCACCCUGGGCAUCACCUGGAAAGAGGAAGAGGAGCUGGACCCAAGCCCAGGUCUUGGCAUCUCAGACAACCCCAUGCCCUGUGCCUCAGCAUCUCCUGCUGCAGCCCCAGGAAGGAGAGGACAACUCCUGGGAGACGAGGGCUUGCUCGUGGUCUGCUGGGGGCAGAACCUGGGGGAGGAUGCUUGAGCACCUGGCGGGCUCAGGGCUUAAAUUUCAAGCUGCACCUGCCUGUUUGUCUGCCUGGUCCCAGCUCAGGAGCCAGAUCACAGAAGUGCAGGAGGACCUGAACCUCCUCUGUCUGCUGCAGAUGAAGGAAAAGGUGAGUGGGAAAUAUUUUGUCUCCUCAGCUGGAUCCGGCUUCCUUCCCCUUUUCCUCCCCCUUCUCCAGCCCCAUCUUUUACAUCUGUUGUACGUGAAAUCCAGCAAACUCUCAGCAGAGCUCAUUACUCACAGCCCAUUGCUCUGAAGAGGGCCGAAAGGUCCUGCACGUAAUGAUUUGGAGGUGAUUUGUAUUUAAGACGCUUGGCUUUCAGAUGCUGGCAGGGGGAGGGGAAAUUAAAUAAUUGAAAGCUAGUGGGGAAGGGAAGGAGAGCGAGCCCCGGACAGAGGGAGAGGACAAGGGCUUCUCAUGAUCCAGAAGUGUUUUGGCUCACCUGCAUCAGUUGCACAGAUGCAGAUUUAAGCCGUAAGACUCGUGGAAAAUCUUCCUUAUGUCCACGCAGGAUCAGAGCCCCAGGGGUGGGCUGAGGUGGACGUGCCAAGAGGCUUCUCCAGGGAUGGCUGAUGCUCAGCACGGCUGACCACUGAGGGCAAAAGGUCUAUCCCAGGUGGGACAGGGGGUCCUCUGCCCUCUGGCCCUAAUGUCUUGAUGGGACGUGAUGGUCACACCACACUCCCCCUUCCUCUGCCUUUGCCUCUUGCUGCCUCCCCUAGCUCUUUGCUGCUGGCACGAUUUAAGUAAUAAAGCCAAUUUUUCAGCCCUGGUCCAAAUUAUUGGGAAAUCUUGCUGUCAGCACCGUGCAGCUGGUAAAUUCCCCUGCAGCGGCUGUCGACAAAGCAAAGGGGUGAGAAAGGCUGCGGUGCUGUCCAUGAGCCUGUGCAGCACAAGCUUGGUGGCCCAGAGCCAUGUGAAGAGCAUGGCUUGCUGAUGAAAAUUAGCAGUAAGAGCCUCAAAGAGUGUUUCUCAAGGUCUCAAAGCAAAAGGAGACCCCACGGGGGGCAAUCCCUGUUUGGUGGGUGGGGAAACUGAGGCACAAAGGGUAGAAAUUAAUGGCCUGGAAAAAGGGCAGGUGGUCUGAAUGUUACUUGCCUGAAAGUUCAGCAAACUGGGAUGCAGAACUUAGGCUUGGUCUAAACCAAUGUUGUCCUGCUCUCAUACACCAAAGCUCCUUUCAGCCUAUUGCCUUCUCCCUUUUCUUUUUUUCUUUUUUUGACCAAAUUGCCAAAAAAAAAAUCUACCAGUCUCGUCUGGUUCUACCUAAAAAUAAGUGCAACCGAGCGCUGCAGGUUUGUGGCAGGAAACUAGGCUCCUGCUGCUUGUUCACGCUCCUCUUUCUCUACCUGGAUGCCAGACCCCAGGUCCCACCAGCGAUGCUGGGCGUUAGCAAGGUUUGGCACCAGCCUUUGGCUUCUGGAAACCAGUCUAUGCACGCAGAGUCCCUUCUGCGCUUGAACUCGAGGCUUCAUUUCCAAAGCCUGGUUUUAACCUUGACCCAGACUUGUGCCUUGCUGCAAAUGCAUGGGGGGAACCUGUUCCCCAGCCCGGGGAAACCCUCAGAUACCGAUGUCCUUCCCGGGGCCCUAACGAGCUCCCGGCAUCCUGCAGUCCCCGGAGACAUGCAGAUGGCCCAUUAGACAGUGCAUUAGGGCUGGGCAGGAGACUUUUAUUCAGACUGGUCAGCCUAAGAUCUAAGAAUCGGGUCAGAUUAGGCUGCCUGAUCCGAAGCUAAUGAGUUGGGCGAUGGCUGGGGGAAUGAAAGUCAAAAAUCAAUAGCCUGGGAAGACCUGAUGCUUUUCCACGUGCUGUUCGUGUAUUUACCGACUCUGUGCAGAGAGCGGGGAAGUUUUAGGAGCCUCCCCUAAAGUCUGGUCAUUAACCCUUGUGUAUUCUCUCCCCCAGUCCAGCUUUCUCUCCCAGGGUGCGGGUGCGAUUCACGCAGCGUGCAUCUUCCCAGAGCAUCACAUUUUCUCCUGGUAGAGGCAUGCUGUGGAGGAGCCUCCUUGCAUCUUCUCAAAGCAUCACCUGCACAGGACAGGAACCGUUCCCUGGUCCAGAAGCACGGGCCAACCAACGUCUGCUCAGCCAAGGUCUCCUUGCCUGUGCCCCGGCAGGAUAACAACAUUAAAACCUGCCUGGGAUUUGUACUUUCUGCAGCUGGAAGAGGAACAACUAACGCCGGAUGAUGCCCGAGUGUCUUUCUCCAAGGCUAACGAUCUUGGGGGUGGUUUAUCUCACCUCUUAUGAGAUAUCUGAAAAUUACAUGUCCAAGGCCAAGCCAGACAUCCCAGGGCAGCGGAGAGAAAUGAGUCUCACAGAACCUGCCUUAGGUGCCUCGCUUCUGACGGCACAGGUCACGAGCUGCAAGUCGUUGGACGGUUUGACUUGAUGAUCCUAGAGGUCUCUUCCAACCUUAAAGAUUCUGUGAUUCUGUAGAUGCUCUUUGAUUUAGGAGUCAUCUCUGCACUCAGGAUUCGCGAUGCUCUUGGUACAGAUAGGUUUUAGUCCACUUAUGCAACUUCAAGGCAGUACAUCAACCCAAACAGAUAACAAGAAGAUGUGAAGUCGUUACCCAUAGGAAUCACUAAUACAAAAAUGACUUAGAGCAGACUAGCGUCUGAAGGACUUGGGACUAAGAUGAGCCAAGCCUGACCUCAGCCUUCUGCAUCUGUACAGCUGAGAUUUCCGAGAGCAGAUUUGUGUCCCAACGACGUGGGUUUCACAGAUGCACACGAUGCUGGAAACGUGGCUGGACCAUGCCACCCACUCUGGAUCCCGAGAGCCUUGUCCCACCCAUGAGUUUCAUCUCGGUCACCGAUGUGAGUGGGGCAUUUCCAGGGUGCUCCCUGUCACACCCCCGUUGUCACACAAUGAGGACAGCUUGUGCUCGGGGGGGGGGGGGGUGAAGCUGUGCGUGCCGGGCACUUCCCAGCUCCAAGGCUGCAGAAUCUUCAGACUGCUGCUUUUGUUUUAAAGUGUGUUGGCGUCCCCUUCUUCAGUAUUGUCUGCCACAGUCCAGGAGUGGAAGGCUUCCGAUUAACACAUCGUGCACGUAACCUGACAUGUUGCCCAGUUUUAAUAUGCUCUUUUAUCAGGUCACGCAGUCCCUUUGAAGGUUCUUUGCAUAUUUCCAGAGCACAAUAUCUACAAACAACUCCCGCUUCCUCCCUUCUCCGUCACUUACACCCAUGUUGACAAUCUAAAUGCUACAUUGCCUGAUCACCAGCAAGUUUCUCUUUUGACUUGUGUCUUCCUGAAUUAAAAGCAGAGCAAAGCAAAACGAGAAGCUUCCGCAAUGAGACUCCUGCCCUGGAAACCACGGCCAACCAAAAUGAUAAAUCUGGCCUCUCCUUCUUCAUGAACUGACUUUCACUUGCCUGAAGCAGGUUGAUGUAGGGGUGGUGCUCACCCCAAUUUGCAUUGCGGUAAAUAAUUGAUAUUUCUGCUUCAACCCUUUUAUUUAGUGCAUUUUUAAAAGUACGACGCAAAAAUUAACCAAAUCGGGUUGCUUUAUUCCCAAGUGAGACUUUGCAUACAGCAAAAUAAUGAAGUGUAAAUAACAGUGUGAGUAGUUAUUGGGGUAAAUACAUGCAGCACCCAAGAAUGCCCAUGCCUACAGAACUUCCCUGCACUUGAGGAGGUGCCAUAUGGAGAUUUCUGCGUUUUCAUCUCCACAUCUCUAACACGCUGGUGUGGACGUAGCCUUUGGCAUUUUUGUCAAGAAAAGACUGACCUCAUUGAAUCCUGUGGAUCAAGGAAUAUGCUAUUUAUUAAAAUUGUGCUUCAACCAAACACAAACUGUUGGACUCAGUUCAGGAGCAACCCGAUGAAACCCCAUGGUCUGUGGGGCAGAAAAGACUGAUGUAUCUUCCGAUUCCUGGGAAGUCCAGGUUUUUGUU
Long non-coding RNA from Grus americana (Whooping crane), 13361 nucleotides. RefSeq lists it as uncharacterized. The record is from RefSeq and is a predicted model, not a curated record. Lineage: Eukaryota; Metazoa; Chordata; Aves; Gruiformes; Gruidae. The transcript is spliced from 8 exons.